UGCCAGCAGCCGCGGUAAUACGGAGGAUCCRRGCGUUAUCCGGAUUUAUUGGGUUUAAAGGGUGCGUAGGUGGCCUGUUAAGUCAGGGGUGAAAGACGGUAGCUUAACUAUCGCAGUGCCCUUGAUACUGAUGGGCUUGAAUGAACUAGAGGYAGGCGGAAUGUGACAAGUAGCGGUGAAAUGCAUAGAUAUGUCACAGAACACCRAUUGCGAAGGCAGCUURCUAUGGUUUKAUUGACACUGAGGCACGAAAGCGUGGGGAUCAAACAGGAUUAGAUACCCUGGUAGUCCACGCCCUAAACGAUGAAUACUCGAUGUUGGCGAUAUAYGGUCAGCGUCUAAGCGAAAGCGUUAAGUAUUCCACCUGGGGAGUACGCCCGCAAGGGUGAAACUCAAAGGAAUUGACGGGGGCCCGCACAAGA
Molecule: ribosomal RNA, 422 nt
Filed under: uncultured bacterium
Lineage: Bacteria
Description: bacterial SSU rRNA
Rfam family: Bacterial small subunit ribosomal RNA
Source: RNAcentral